AAAUGCGCUGGAUUCGGGUGAAUCUCGUUCACCUGUAGAGUAAAAUCCAUAAUUAGCUAAAGACAACAUUUUUUUUUCUCUGUUAGAGAUAUUUACCCACUGGAAAUUGCCCAGAAAGCCUUUUCACAACUACUGUGAUCUACAGCUCCAAAAACCUUACUUUUAAUUAUUAAAUUAAUUAUCAUUAUAACUAAAAACGUACUAAUGGUUAUUUUUGUACUUCCAGCGCUUGUCCUUUGCUUCCUAACAGAUUACAGAUGGAAACUCUCAGGCUGAAGGUGUGAAAAGCAAAAAAAAUCCAACUUCCCGUUCAAUCUUUCUGGAGAAUUAUAAAAACAACACAAAAUUACCGCUGGAGGACCUGUUGGGGUGAAGGUGGUCCAUGACGGCAUGAAACUGAAGCAACCACCAUAGAAGUUGGAGAUGUUUUAGCCAUUUCUUUUCGGGGUAAUGGGUUAAAGACGAACCCGUCACACCACUUGAAGCAGAUUAACGGUCCGAUCAUCGCCUACCCCCCCAAGGAAGAUAUUCAGUUAGUUAUCGUUGUGUCGUCGCAAAAGCCACAGAAAACCAUCGUGACCCAUGCAACUUAAGGUCCUUGGAACAGUUUAGAAGUUAUGGCUUACCAUCCUGUAAAAAUAUGAAGCUUAAAAUAAAAUGUUUCAAAGGAA
This is a long non-coding RNA of Drosophila ananassae, 671 nucleotides long. RefSeq lists it as uncharacterized. The record is from RefSeq and is a predicted model, not a curated record. Lineage: Eukaryota; Metazoa; Arthropoda; Insecta; Diptera; Drosophilidae. The transcript is spliced from 2 exons.